Molecule: long non-coding RNA, 342 nt
Organism: Homo sapiens (human)
Lineage: Eukaryota; Metazoa; Chordata; Mammalia; Primates; Hominidae
Exons: 2
Source: RefSeq, a predicted model, not a curated record
UAAGGAUGCCGUACAGAGAUGAGCUUUUUGACCCACUGCUCUUCCAGUAGUAAUGGAUUUGCACUAAUUUGAGCAGAGUAUGCCACUUGGUCCUGUUUUUCAGUUGUCCUGUGUGAUGGCUGGCUAGCAAAAUCAAACAUCUGCAUUUUGACUGUGGAAGGCAGUAUAACUAGCUGGCUCAUACUGGUUCAAAUUUGCAACACUGAUAUGAGGAGGUGUUAGCAAGAUGGCGUGACUCCUGGAUAUGGAAUAGGAGAACAAUUGGUGUUUCAUCAUUACUGAAAAUUUUAUGCUCUUUGAAAUCAGGUAUGAAGUAUAAUAAAAAUCAACAGUUUUAUGAGA